Non-coding RNA from Notechis scutatus (mainland tiger snake), 105 nucleotides. The record is from RefSeq and is a predicted model, not a curated record. NCBI's taxonomy places the organism in Eukaryota, Metazoa, Chordata, Lepidosauria, Squamata, Elapidae.
UGAUGUUAUAUAUGUUGACAGCAGCAAGAUUAUUUUAUGCACAAAAAUGGAAGGACACUUUGAUUCCUACAAUGGACGGAUGGCUGCAAAAACUAAAGAAAUGGC